RNAcentral lists this transfer RNA (74 nucleotides) under Clostridia bacterium. Its description in RNAcentral is "tRNA-Glu". It matches the Rfam family "tRNA". From Rfam's summary of the family: Transfer RNA (tRNA) molecules are approximately 80 nucleotides in length. Their secondary structure includes four short double-helical elements and three loops (D, anti-codon, and T loops). The record is from RNAcentral. Lineage: Bacteria; Bacillati; Bacillota; Clostridia.
GGUCUCUUCGACUAAUGGUUUAGGUCAGUAGCUUCUCAAAUUACAAAUGGUGAGUUCGAAUCUCCCAGAGAUCA